This 1271-nucleotide long non-coding RNA is filed under the name Vigna radiata. RNAcentral describes it as "long non-coding RNA (VRAD_LNC017651)". Lineage: Eukaryota; Viridiplantae; Streptophyta; Magnoliopsida; Fabales; Fabaceae. The record is from RNAcentral.
AACUUCUCAAGUGCAUUAAGUCUACAUAAAGAGACUCUAUUUGUUGUGAAAGUUUUGGCACCUCUGCAUUAGUUCUUUCUCUUUCAACUGGAACAAUUGUAAUAAAAUGGUCUAGUAGAUCACAAUUUAUUCGGGUUUUCAGCUCAGUAACUUGUUUUCUUUCAGUAAGAAUUUGCUAACAUGGAAAAGAAUGAUACAUACAUAUGCAGCAGAAUCCUAAACAACUAAAUAAAUCAAUAUCAAAAGUGAAAGGAAAGAAAAAAUAACAAACAAGAAACAUGUAACACAUCAUGCUAGUCUCUUUGUGGAUACCAAAAAUAAAAGUAAAGAGAAAAGAAAAAACAGAAAAGGAAAUACGUAACACAGCAUGCCAAUGUCUAUACAUCCAAGAAAGACCCUUCACUGAAGACAACAUGGGCAGAAUACAACGAGGAAGCGAAAAAAACUACUUAAUUUCUUAUAAUUUUAUGUUUCUGGCACAAGAGUAAUUCUAGUAAUUUUAUAAUUAGGAUUUUAGUUUUGUCGAUUUAUGACAUUUUGCUUGUGAAUGUUCAUACUCUUAACUAAGCUCCAUUUAUUUUAUUAAUGGUCAGUUAUUUGACUUAGACAUAAAGUUUUGACAAGGUCUAUAUAACUGAUGUAUCCAGCUAUUAGAUAGCCAAAAAUAUUUACGUCAAAAGAAAAAAAAAAAAAACUAGCAGCCAAAAUAUGUCAAGUUUUUCUCAGGUGUGUGUUCACUAAAAGCCCCUAAAGUUUAGGUCUUCUUCUGUUCUAUAUUCUACUUUAAUUUCUCCCAAAAAAGCUCCCUAUUCAAUUAGCUAAGUAGUUAGCAACAAUUCUCCAACUUUACAAAGUCCAACUUUUCCCGCGUUUCAAGUCCUGCAUCUCAAUCCUUUCAUUCACUAUACCCACAUUAACUAUUAUUUCUAGGGCGGUUGUACCAGUUUCAAAGUUCUAAUUAUAUUCAUGUGUAGCCCAAAGUAAAACUGAAAUGAAAAACUUCAGUUCAAUCUACAUGGAUUACAGAUUCAAAUCAUACUCCAAAAACGGGUACCUAAACAUAUACUAUUAGUUUGGCUUAUAGCAAAUAAACAACUAUAAGGCAUUGACAGUAAACCCUCCAAAAUGCUAAUGACAGACUACCUUUCAUAUUUAUAAUACAGUGAAGACAGUACCAGCAGUAUAUGCUAAAUUUCUUGUACAGCUAAACAACUGGGUUAUCAUGAUUGAAUAUCUGACAAUUUUAAAAAAAACAAAAAUUCAAUUCUGCA